UAAUGUAUGGGGAUCUGCCCGAUAGAGGGGGAUAACUACUGGAAACGGUGGCUAAUACCGCAUAAUGUCUCGGACCAAAGCAGGGGCUCUUCGGACCUUGCACUAUCGGAUGAACCCAUAUGGGAUUAGCUAGUAGGUGGGGUAAAGGCUCACCUAGGCGACGAUCUCUAGCUGGUCUGAGAGGAUGAUCAGCCACAUGGGACUGAGACACGGCCCAG
This 218-nucleotide ribosomal RNA is filed under the name uncultured bacterium. RNAcentral's name for it is "partial 16S ribosomal RNA". It matches the Rfam family "Bacterial small subunit ribosomal RNA", at positions 111 to 334 of the family's 1533-position model. The record is from RNAcentral.